CCUACGGGAGGCAGCAGUGAGGAAUAUUGGGCAAUGGGCGAGAGCCUGACCCAGCCAAGCAGCGUGAAGGAAGAAGGCUUUAGGGUUUUUAAAUUCUUUUGACAUGGGAGUGUAGAUGACGGUACAUGUCGAUUAAUCCACGGCUAACUACGUGCCAGCAGCCGAGGCAAUACGUAGGACGCCAGUGUUAUCCGGGUUUACUGGGUUUAAAGGGCGUGUAGCCGGUUUGACAAGUCAGAUGUGAAAGCCUGCGGCUUAACCGUAGAACUGCAGUUGAUACUGUGUGUCUUGAGUAUUGGAGAGGCAGACGGAAUUCGUAGUGUAGCGGUGAAAUGCGUAGAUAUUAGGAGGAACACCAGUGGCGAAGGCAGUCUGCUGGACAGCAACUGACGGUGAUGCGCGAAAGCGUGGGGAGCAAACAGGAUUAGAUACCCCAGUAGUC
This 442-nucleotide ribosomal RNA is filed under the name uncultured bacterium. RNAcentral describes it as "partial 16S ribosomal RNA". It matches the Rfam family "Bacterial small subunit ribosomal RNA", at positions 338 to 795 of the family's 1533-position model. The record is from RNAcentral.